GACGAACGCUGGCGGCGUGCUUAACACAUGCAAGUCGAACGGAAAGGCCCUGCUUUUGUGGGGUGCUCGAGUGGCGAACGGGUGAGUAACACGCGAGUAACCUGCCCUUGACUUUGGGAUAACUUCUGGAAACUGGGGCUCAUACCGGAUAGGAGCUCCUGCUGCACGGUGGGGGCUGGAAAGUUUCGGCGGUUGGGGAUGGACUCGCGGCUUAUCAGCUUGUUGGUGGGGUAGUGGCUUACCAAGGCUUUGACGGGUAGCCGGCCUGAGAGGGUGACCGGCCACAUUGGGACUGGGAUACGGCCCAGACUCCUACGGGAGGCAGCAGUGGGGAAUAUUACACAAUGGGCGGAAGCCUGAUGCGGCAACGCCGCGUGCGGGAUGACGGCCUUCGGGUUGUGAACCGCUUUCGCCUGUGACGAAGCGUGAGUGACGGUAAUGGGUAAAGAAGCACCGGCUAACUACGUG
This 468-nucleotide ribosomal RNA is filed under the name uncultured bacterium. RNAcentral's name for it is "partial 16S ribosomal RNA". It matches the Rfam family "Bacterial small subunit ribosomal RNA", at positions 28 to 507 of the family's 1533-position model. The record is from RNAcentral.